RNAcentral lists this unclassified non-coding RNA (75 nucleotides) under Pseudomonas antarctica. Lineage: Bacteria; Pseudomonadati; Pseudomonadota; Gammaproteobacteria; Pseudomonadales; Pseudomonadaceae. The record is from RNAcentral.
CUCGACUUGCUCGCGAAUGCGGUGGGUCAGUUACACAUGAGCUGGCUGACCCACCGCAUUCGCGAGCAAGCCCGC